RNAcentral lists this ribosomal RNA (120 nucleotides) under Chinchilla lanigera (long-tailed chinchilla). Lineage: Eukaryota; Metazoa; Chordata; Mammalia; Rodentia; Chinchillidae. The record is from RNAcentral.
GUCUACGGCCAUACCACCCUGAACGCGCCCGAUCUCGUCUGAUCUCGGAAGCUAAGCAGUGUCGGGCCUGGUUAGUACUUGGAUGGGACAUGAUUUAAGCAGUCCAGUAUUUCUCAGGUU